RNAcentral lists this unclassified non-coding RNA (340 nucleotides) under uncultured fungus. Its description in RNAcentral is "partial contains 5.8S ribosomal RNA and internal transcribed spacer 2". The stretch from base 1 to 133 matches the Rfam family "5.8S ribosomal RNA", at positions 22 to 154 of the family's 154-position model. Lineage: Eukaryota; Fungi. The record is from RNAcentral.
UGGUUCUGGCAUCGAUGAAGAACGCAGCGAAAUGCGAUAAGUAAUGUGAAUUGCAGAAUUCAGUGAAUCAUCGAAUCUUUGAACGCACAUUGCGCCCGCUAGUAUUCUGGCGGGCAUGCCUGUUCGAGCGUCCUCUUAAACCCUCGAGCCCUGGAGAUUUAUUCUCCGGCGGCCCGGUGUUGGGGAACCGCGGCUGCCGCGGCCCCCUAAAAUCAGUGGCGGACCCUUCCGUGGCCCUGGCGUAGUAAUAUUUUAACCUCGUCUUUCGGCUGCUGCAGGGCCUUGCCCCAAGCUCCAACACAAGAAACUGGACCUCGAAUCAGGUAGGAAUACCCGCUGA